RNAcentral lists this ribosomal RNA (1328 nucleotides) under Pteronarcys princeps (ebony salmonfly). RNAcentral describes it as "large subunit ribosomal RNA". The stretch from base 889 to 1252 matches the Rfam family "Bacterial large subunit ribosomal RNA", at positions 2073 to 2647 of the family's 2925-position model. The record is from RNAcentral. Lineage: Eukaryota; Metazoa; Arthropoda; Insecta; Plecoptera; Pteronarcyidae.
UAAUUGUGAAUUUACAGAAUUAUUUUGUUUAAAGAUGUUUAUUAAUAAAAUCAUUUUUUUUUAUGUAGGGUUUUUGUAUAGGUUAUAGAUAAAAUUUUUAAUGUGAUAGUUAAAUUGUAUUGUGAGAGGUUAUUGAAAUAAGUUGAAAAUGUAAUUAAGUGAAAGUAGAUUUAAUUUAUUGUACCUUGUGUAUCAGGGUUUAUCAAAAAGUUUAUAAAUAUUUAUAGAUCCCGAUUUAAAGAGAGCUAAUUAUUUUUGUUAGUUGAUGUGGAAUAAUCAUUAAUAAAAGAUGAUUAGUCAUGAAAUGUUAUUCGUUCUUUAAGAUAUCUGGUUUUUCAAGAAAUGAAUUUAAUUCAGUUAUUAAAUAUUAUUUAUCUAAUUUUUUAGGUGAAUAUAAUUUGAUAAAAAUGUAUUGGGGGAUAAGCUUCAAUACAUAAUUUAUAAAAUGGAAUUUUAUGUAAAAAUUUAGUAGGCUUAGAAUUAGCCAUCAAUUUAAGGAUGUUAUAAUUUAUUUUUUAUUAAAUAUAAUUUUAUGAUGUAAUUUAAAUAGUAUAUUGAAAUGUAACUUUUAAUUUUUUAAGGUUGGUAAUAAUGAUAAAAUUAGUAUAAAUAAUUGUUUUUUAUUAUGUAAUUGAAAGGUUAUAUUAAGGAAUUAGGCAAAUUAAUGCUCGCCUGUUUAACAAAAACAUGUCCUCUAGAUGAUAAUUUGAGGUCUGACCUGCCCACUGAAUAUAAGAUUUGAAGGGCCGCGGUAUUUUGACCGUGCAAAGGUAGCAUAAUCAUUAGUCUUUUAAUUGAAGGCUAGAAUGAAUGGUUGGACGAGGUAUUGACUGUCUCAGUAUAAUUGAAAUUAGAAUUUAACAUUUAAGUCAAAAGGCUUAAAUAUAUUUAAAGGACGAGAAGACCCUAUAGAGCUUGAUAUUUAAAAGUUAUUAUUUAUUUGGUUGUAUUUUUAUAAUAGUUUAAUAAGUAUUUUGUUGGGGUGACAGGAAGAUAUAAUAAACUCUUUUUAUUUUAUUACAUUGAUAUAUGAAUUGUUGAUCCAUUAUUAGUGAUUAUAAGACUAAGUUACCUUAGGGAUAACAGCGUAAUCUUUUUCGAGAGUUCUUAUCGACAAAAAGGGUUGCGACCUCGAUGUUGGAUUAAGGGUAAUUUUGGGUGUAGAUGUUCAAAGUUUAGGUCUGUUCGACCUUUAAAUCCUUACAUGAUCUGAGUUCAGACCGGUGUAAGCCAGGUCGGUUUCUAUCCUUAAUAAAAAUUGAUGUUUUAGUACGAAAGGACCAAUCAUUGGGAAUAAAUUUUCUUAUUAGUUGAUUAAUAUUAAGUGA